UCCUCGGUAGUAUAGUGGUUAGUGGUUAGUAUCCCCGCCUGUCACGCGGGAGACCGGGGUUCGAUUCCCCGCCGGGGAG
This is a non-coding RNA of Schistocerca serialis cubense, 79 nucleotides long. NCBI's taxonomy places the organism in Eukaryota, Metazoa, Arthropoda, Insecta, Orthoptera, Acrididae. The record is from the annotation of a RefSeq genome assembly.